RNAcentral lists this ribosomal RNA (482 nucleotides) under uncultured Escherichia sp. RNAcentral describes it as "bacterial SSU rRNA". It matches the Rfam family "Bacterial small subunit ribosomal RNA", at positions 957 to 1439 of the family's 1533-position model. Lineage: Bacteria; Pseudomonadati; Pseudomonadota; Gammaproteobacteria; Enterobacterales; Enterobacteriaceae. The record is from RNAcentral.
CAACGCGAAGAACCUUACCUGGUCUUGACAUCCACGGAAGUUUUCAGAGAUGAGAAUGUGCCUUCGGGAACCGUGAGGCAGGUGCUGCAUGGCUGUCGUCAGCUCGUGUUGUGAAAUGUUGGGUUAAGUCCCGCAACGAGCGCAACCCUUAUCCUUUGUUGCCAGCGGUCCGGCCGGGAACUCAAAGGAGACUGCCAGUGAUAAACUGGAGGAAGGUGGGGAUGACGUCAAGUCAUCAUGGCCCUUACGACCAGGGCUACACACGUGCUACAAUGGCGCAUACAAAGAGAAGCGAUCUCGCGAGAGCAAGCGGACCUCAUAAAGUGCGUCGUAGUCCGGAUUGGAGUCUGCAACUCGACUCCAUGAAGUCGGAAUCGCUAGUAAUCGUGGAUCAGAAUGCCACGGUGAAUACGUUCCCGGGCCUUGUACACACCGCCCGUCACACCAUGGGAGUGGGUUGCAAAAGAAGUAGGUAGCUUAAC